UACGAAGGGGGCUAGCGUUGCUCGGAAUCACUGGGCGUAAAGCGCACGUAGGCGGCUCUUUAAGUCAGAGGUGAAAUCCUGGAGCUCAACUCCAGAACUGCCUUUGAUACUGGAGAGCUUGAGUCCGGGAGAGGUGAGUGGAACUGCGAGUGUAGAGGUGAAAUUCGUAGAUAUUCGCAAGAACACCAGUGGCGAAGGCGGCUCACUGGCCCGGUACUGACGCUGAGGUGCGAAAGCGUGGGGAGCAAACAGG
RNAcentral lists this ribosomal RNA (253 nucleotides) under uncultured bacterium. Its description in RNAcentral is "partial 16S ribosomal RNA". It matches the Rfam family "Bacterial small subunit ribosomal RNA", at positions 524 to 776 of the family's 1533-position model. The record is from RNAcentral.